Molecule: ribosomal RNA, 425 nt
Filed under: uncultured bacterium
Lineage: Bacteria
Description: partial 16S ribosomal RNA
Rfam family: Bacterial small subunit ribosomal RNA
Source: RNAcentral
GUGGGGAAUCUUGCGCAAUGGGCGAAAGCCUGACGCAGCCAUGCCGCGUGAAUGAUGAAGGUCUUAGGAUUGUAAAAUUCUUUCACCGGGGACGAUAAUGACGGUACCCGGAGAAGAAGCUCCGGCUAACUUCGUGCCUGCAGCCGCGGUAAUACGAAGGGGGCUAGCGUUGCUCGGAAUUACUGGGCGUAAAGGGCGCGUAGGCGGACAGCUUAGUCAGAGGUGAAAGCCCAGGGCUCAACCUUGGAAUUGCCUUUGAUACUGGCUGUCUUGAGUUUGGGAGAGGUGAGUGGAACUCCGAGUGUAGAGGUGAAAUUCGUAGAUAUUCGGAAGAACACCAGUGGCGAAGGCGACUCACUGGCCCAAUACUGACGCUGAGGCGCGAAAGCGUGGGGAGCAAACAGGAUUAGAUACCCGGGUAGUCC